Molecule: RNA transcript, 3612 nt
Organism: Triticum urartu
Lineage: Eukaryota; Viridiplantae; Streptophyta; Magnoliopsida; Poales; Poaceae
Source: RefSeq, a predicted model, not a curated record
UGUCGCGAGGACAUUUUUACAAAAAAAAAAACUCUAGCUUCUCCCGACCAAACCUGCGCUCCUUGUCGUCCUCCUCCGACAGAAGCAGCAGCUGCGCUGCUCUCCGCCGCCGCAGCUUCCCUGCUCCCCGCCGCCGCAGCUGCCCUACUCCCCGCCGCCGCAGCCCCCCCGGCUCCCCCGCUCUCCCGCCGCAGCUGCCUCCUGCUCCGCUGCCGCAGUUGCCGCCCGCCUGCCUCCCCAAGCUCCCCCCUUCCUCAAAAAGACCUUCAAUUUCCCCAGCUACCGCCGCGCUCUGCUCCGGCUGCGCCGGAACUGCCGUCGGAGAGCCCGGAGGCGCCGGAUCUGGACCACCAACAACAACGUAAAGGCCGAUGAGCAGCCAGGUGUCGUCCUCGCCGUCGACGACGACGGUGUCGUCGACGCCACGGAGCGAGGGCGAGAUCCCCCAGUCGGCCAACGUCAAGAGUUUCGCCUUCACGGAGCUGAUUUUCAGCUGGCUGCUGCUGCUGCUGCCCCCGGUAGCGCCGGCACCGUGCUGCCGCGUCCGGCACUCGCACCGGCGGCCGGCGGGGCACGCCUUCAAGCGUCUACUGACGGUACCCAAGAGCGUGGGGUACGAUCAGAGAACAAGAUGAAUAAUCAGCUACUGCUAUGACGCAGCGGUGCAAGAACAAGAUGAACACCUCAACAUGUGCAUUGCUGGUUAGUGUUUACAUCUCCAUCUUCUCUGUUACUCAAAUGUUCUGAACUUUCUGAAUCUCUGAACCACUUUACUGAAUGUGAGUAAAAUCUGUUCAUUUUCUGAACCACUUCACUGAAUGUGUGUAAAAUCUAUUCAUUUUCUGGUUGGAAUAUUUGGACUAGUUCUGCUAGUUUAGAGUUUGGAGUAUUUGCACAGUUAACUGAACAAUUUUGCACAGAUAACUGAACAGUUUUGCAAGCAUUCGAUCUAUGAACAAUUUUGUUUUCUGUAAGAUUUAUACUGUCUCUAAAUUCAGUCAUGAACUAUGAACUCUGAAAUUAGUACUGUCCCAAUAGCAUUUUAAAUAUUCAAGUUAGGACUGCACUUUUAAAGUUCAAGAUACUCCUGUAAAUUAAACCUCAACUUGCAGAGUUGUUGUUUUUAGUUAACUGAAAUUAUAGUGACUACUCCUACUUUUUCCUUCUCCUCUGUUCUGAAACUUCAGCUAUCAUAUCUACAGUACCUAGCUACUGUCAGAACAGAACACUGUAUAUCUAUAGCUUCAUUUUAGAAAUUUAAUGAGUGCAUUUCUAAAAUGGCAAAGAUUAUGGCGCAAAGAUUAGUUACAUCACAUCAAGCAUGCCAUUCCAUCUUUGAUUCUGUUUUUGAUGGAGUACUAGGUAACCUUGUGAAGUGAAUAAUGAGCAUGGGCAAUAAAUAUCCACUACUACUCCCACAUUAUGUCUUUGAUUCUGUUUUUGAUGGCACUAAAUCUUGAAAAUACUAGCAGAAGUAAUAUUGUCAACCACUGGGCCCCAAGGAGAUAUCAUCAUCAGUAGAUAUCUACAAUUUUAUUACUGGAGCCACCAUACAAACCAUGCAAACCUCAUACUCUUUUGUUAGCUGAGAAGAUCUGCUCUAGCAUUUAGCAUAAGGAUUACCACCACUACUAUCUUAUGUUGUGUAGGUACUUAGAAGUUAAUUAGGAUCUUAGCUUAGAAGACCUGCUCUAGCACUAAGCAGAAGUUAAUUUGGAGUACUAUGACUUUUUGACAGUCUGUAAAACGGGGCACUUGCUUCGCAGGAAAAUUGAAACUGAAAAAUUGCAAGAGUUUUGCUUGAUGUUAUACUGCUAUCUCAUAUUGAAACUGAAAAAGUGAAAAUUUGUAAGAGUUUUGCUUCAUUUGGAGUACAAGUCCAAAUCUGUAUUGACAAUACAUGUUCUAUUUUUCUAUUGUUGAUCAGAUCCAUAUUGUCCUAAAUUGCAAAGUAAGUUAGCACAAAUUCAGUUUUAAUCCAAAUUAUUCAAAUAAAUCCAAAUAUUUUAAAUUAAUCCAAAUCAAUUCAAAUAAAUCCAAAUAACCCAAAUUAAUUCAAAUAAUCCAAAUUAAUCUAGUUAAUCUAAAUAACCCAGAUAAUUCAAUUAAUCCAAAUAACCCAAAUUCAAUAACACAAGGAUUAGACAAGGCAUACAUAAGGAGAUGACAUAAGAGCCUCUUUAUCCCCUCUUGACACAAGAUUACACAAGACAUACACAAGGAGCACCUGACUACAUGACAUAAGGGCCUCUUUGCCCCCUCUUGACUACAUUCUUUCUCUGGCCACUUCUUCCCUUCCCUUUACUUUUUUUCUUUUCCCUUCUCUAGCUAAUUCUUUCCUUUCAUUUUCUUUUCCUAUUGCAAUUUCCAUUUCUUCUAUAGUGGCCCUAGUAUCAACAACUACCCGACUGUCGCAAUAUACAUUGGUUAUUUCCAGUCCAGCAUUUUGAAAGCGAUCCUUGUGCAAGUGGGGCAACUUAUAUUGAUUUCCUCCUUUGUCUUUCAUAACUUCAAACAUAACUGCUUCUAAUGUGAUAAAGCUUCUGUGCAACUUGUCGGGAUCGUAGUUCUCGAAUUCCUCUUCCACACCCUGUACCAGUUCUUGGAUGUUUGUAGGUGACCUGCAGUCGGUUAGAGACUGGAGAGAGUUAUGGAAGCAGAGGUCCAAACAAUUUAACUCAGGGCUAUUUGGGGGCUGUUGUAGCAAUCGGAUGUCAAGAUCAGUUUGUUCCACAACUUCUCGAAAAGCUACAUCAUUGGGAAGGACAUGAGGCUUUGCGUUAUCCUGUUGGAUGAAUAUUGUUGCUCCCUCAUCAUCGUCAGGCCACUUAUCCUGAAUUGUCGGGAUAACCUUAUUGAUCAGAUAAUCUCUGCACACAGGCCUGGUUACUUUCACUGAUGUCAACACUUUUGUUCCCUUUGUUCUGUUCUGACUUGUCCGCUUCGCCUCACUCUCUUCGACGAAUGCCCAAAUGCCGAUCUUCCCAUCGAAUGUUAGCUCCCCCUCAUUGUUAUAUCGAGGCCUGGCAACAGCUGUUAGGAACAUUACCUUCCCAAUUUUGUGAGUGUUUGCCACGGUGCGCUUUGGUUCAGGCUCUCUUGGAAGUACAUAGUAACUAUUCUUCACUCUCGUCAUGUCAAACCACUUCUCAUCGAUGUGAACCAUAUUCGUCAUUGGUUUGAACAUAGCCCGAGAAGUUGAGAUCGAAUUGUCAUCGACCAUGGACAUACAAAAUUUCAAUCUCGCAAGCUUGUUCUCUAGCUUGAGGUGAGGCUUCACAGUGCUUGUGAUGCGGUUGAGCUCAUUCAACUGGAACCUCUUAUGUAGGGUCGAUCGGGCCACACCUAGAGACCGUGCCAGAGAUCGAAUUGUUCUUCUUUUAUUCAGUGGGAUUGUUGAGGUCCUCUCUAGAUCUAGCUCCUUUCUCUUUCGGCCAGAUCUUCCCGGCUUCUUGCUUGAGACAUCUACUUCUUUGCCAUCGGAUUUGCUUUUUGGUGUCUUCCCAGAUUCUUUCAACAGAUCGUACACUUAUGUCCAACAGGUUUGAGACUAGCAGCUUGUCGUCUGGUUGAACAGACCCAUCUCUGAGCUCGAUUACCAGCAAGGCGAAG